GCCGUACGGUUAUCCGGACUGAUCCGCCCGUAGAGUAUGUCACAGCCGAUUCUCUAGUGAUGAUGCCUUUUCCGCCGCGCUCACCCUGAGGAGGGACAUUGGAAUCUGGGGAGACUUGAGUGCAGGAUAGCAGAAAGGAAUUCCAUGUGUAGCGGUGAAAUGCGUAGAUAUAUGGAGGAACACCAGUGGCGAAGGCGGCUCUCUGGUCUGUAACUGACGCUGAGGCUCGAAAGCGUGGGGAGCGAACAGGAUUAGAUACCCUGGUAGUCCACGCCGUAAACGAUGAGUGCUAAGUGUUGGAGGGUUUCCGCCCUUCAGUGCUGCAGCAAACGCAUUAAGCACUCCGCCUGGGGAGUACGACCGCAAGGUUGAAACUCAAAGGAAUUGACGGGGGCCCGCACAAGCGGUGGAGCAUGUGGUUUAAUUCGAAGCAACGCGAAGAACCUUACCAGGUCUUGACAUCCUUUGACCACUCUAGAGAUAGAGCUUCCCCUUCGGGGGCAAAGUGACAGGUGGUGCAUGGUUGUCGUCAGCUCGUGUCGUGAGAUGUUGGGUUAAGUCCCGCAACGAGCGCAACCCUUAUUGUUAGUUGCCAUCAUUUAGUUGGGCACUCUAGCGAGACUGCCGGUGACAAACCGGAGGAAGGUGGGGAUGACGUCAAAUCAUCAUGCCCCUUAUGACCUGGGCUACACACGUGCUACAAUGGGAAGUACAACGAGUUGCGAAGUCGCGAGGCUAAGCUAAUCUCUUAAAGCUUCUCUCAGUUCGGAUUGUAGGCUGCAACUCGCCUACAUGAAGCCGGAAUCGCUAGUAAUCGCGGAUCAGCACGCGCGUGGAAAACCCUUUCCCGGGGCCCCUUUGUAACACACGCGCCCGUCACACCACGAAGAGUUUGUAACACCCGAAGUCGGUGAGGUAACCUUUUGGAACCCGCCGGCUUAGGUGGGAUAGAUGAUGGGGUGAGUCUAAGAAGAACCCCCCACAAAAAANNNNNNNNNCNCCCGCNGCNCCGGGGGGANACCCGCGGGGGGAGCCAAAUUUUUAUACCCCUUUUUUUUUUUUUUUAUCAAACAAAAAUUUUAAAGAAAAAAAAAUUUCUUUUUCUACCCGGGCGGGGCGUGCGGACCAAUAUUUUUUCUUUUCUAAUAAAAAUUACUUCUCGGCUCCCCCCUCCCCAGAGAGGGAGGGGGGCGGAGCCGGGAAACCGAGGGGGGGGGGGGGAACCCCCAACUCUCUCUGUCCGGGGUCUGUUGAUGAUGUGGGUUGGUGGGGUGGGUGGGGGGGGCACUCCCCACAGUAACAAAAAAAAUACAGAAAAUAAGGGAGGGAGGGCGCGCGCCCGCCCGCCCGCGGGCACGACUCAACAA
RNAcentral lists this ribosomal RNA (1367 nucleotides) under Enterococcus faecalis. RNAcentral describes it as "bacterial SSU rRNA". The stretch from base 1 to 1045 matches the Rfam family "Bacterial small subunit ribosomal RNA", at positions 532 to 1533 of the family's 1533-position model. The record is from RNAcentral. Lineage: Bacteria; Bacillati; Bacillota; Bacilli; Lactobacillales; Enterococcaceae.